CAGCCGCCGCGGGAAUACAGAGGGUGCGAGCGUUAAUCGGAUUUACUGGGCGUAAAGCGUGCGUAGGCGGCUUCUUAAGUCGGAUGUGAAAUACCUGAGCUUAACUUAGGAAUUGCAUUCGAUACUGGGAAGCUAGAGUAUGGGAGAGGAUGGUAGAAUUCCAGGUGUAGCGGUGAAAUGCGUAGAGAUCUGGAGGAAUACCGAUGGCGAAGGCAGCCAUUUGGCCUAAUACUGACGCUGAGGUACGAAAGCAUGGGGAGCAAACAGGAUUAGAUACCCCUGUAGUCCCUGUCUUUAUACA
This 301-nucleotide ribosomal RNA is filed under the name uncultured bacterium. RNAcentral describes it as "partial 16S ribosomal RNA". It matches the Rfam family "Bacterial small subunit ribosomal RNA", at positions 509 to 809 of the family's 1533-position model. The record is from RNAcentral.